Molecule: ribosomal RNA, 630 nt
Filed under: uncultured Planctomycetota bacterium
Lineage: Bacteria; Pseudomonadati; Planctomycetota
Description: bacterial SSU rRNA
Rfam family: Bacterial small subunit ribosomal RNA
Source: RNAcentral
GAGUUUGAUCCUGGCUCAGCAACGAACGUUGGCGGCAUGGAUUAGGCAUGCAAGUCGAGCGAGAACCAAGAAAGCUUGCUUUCGAGGGGACAGCGGCGAAAGGGAGAGUAACAGGUAGAUACCUACCUCCAGGCUGGGAAUAGCGUCGGGAAACUGGCGGUAAUGCCCAAUAACAUCUACGGAUCAAAGCUCCGGCGCCUGGAGAUGGGUCUGCUCACUAUUAGCUAGUUGGUAAGGUAAUGGCUUACCAAGGCGACGAUGGUUAGCGGGCGUGAGAGCGUGGCCCGUCUCACUGGGACUGAGACACUGCCCAGACACCUACGGGUGGCUGCAGUCGAGAAUCUUCGGCAAUGGACGCAAGUCUGACCGAGCGAUGCCGCGUGCGGGAUGAAGGCCUUCGGGUUGUAAACCGCUGUCAGAGGGAAGGAAAUUUUGACCAAACCUCAGAGGAAGGUCGGGCUAAGUUCGUGCCAGCAGCCGCGGUAAGACGAACCGACCGAACGUUAUUCGGAAUUACUGGGCUUAAAGGGUGCGUAGGCGGCCAUGCAAGUCAGAUGUGAAAUCCCACGGCUCAACCGUGGAACUGCGUUUGAAACUGCAUGGCUUGAGGGAGAUAGGGGUGAGCGGAAC